CGGCUCAGUAACACGUAGCUAACUUACCCUUAAGUCAGGAAUAACCUCUGGGAAACUGAGGCUAAUACCUGAUAAGAGAUAUACCCUGGAAUGAUUUAUCUCUGAAACUCGCGCUUAAGGAUAGGGCUGCGGCGGAUUAGGUUGUUGGCGGGGUAACUGCCCACCAAGCCUGUGAUCCGUAAGGGCUCUUAGCGGAGAAGCCCUGAAAGGGAAUCUGAGACACUAUUCCCAGCCCUACGGGGUGCAGCAGUUAGGAAUAUUUUGCAAUGCGCGCAAGCGUGACAAAUUGAGCCAGAGUGCUUCUCAAUUGAGAAGCUUUUGCCAAAUGUAAAAAGUUUGGAGAAUAAGGACUGGGUAAGACUAGUGCCAGCCGCCGCGGUAAUACUAGCGGUCCAAGUCGCAGCCAUUUUUAUUGGGUCUAAAACAUCCGUAGCUCGUUCGGUGAGUUUCCUGUGAAAUCUUAUCUCUUAAAGAUAAGGCGUGCGGGAAGUACUGCCGAACUAGAGACCGGAAGACGUAGGAAGUACGUUCAAAGUAGUGGUAAAAUACUUUAAUCUUGGACGGACUCACAAUAGCGAAGGCAUCCUACGAGUACGGUUCUGACAGUAAGGGAUGAAGGCUAGGGGCGCAAAACGGAUUAGAUACCCGUGUAGUCCUAGCAGUAAACACUGCACACUAAACAUCAGUACCUCUUCGGGAGGUAUUGGUGCUGCAGCGAAGGCGAAGAGUGUGCUACCUGGGAAGUAUAGUCGCAAGGCCGAAACUUAAAGGAAUUGGCGGA
Molecule: ribosomal RNA, 781 nt
Filed under: uncultured archaeon
Lineage: Archaea
Description: bacterial SSU rRNA
Rfam family: Archaeal small subunit ribosomal RNA
Source: RNAcentral